CAUCACCAAAGGAUGCAGUACU
Molecule: unclassified non-coding RNA, 22 nt
Filed under: Mus musculus (house mouse)
Lineage: Eukaryota; Metazoa; Chordata; Mammalia; Rodentia; Muridae
Description: oocyte_clustered_small_RNA6094
Source: RNAcentral